UUCGAGUCCCCUCAGGCCAUUGGAGGUUUACCUUAACUUUAGGGUCCUGUGGGAUUAGUUGAGGUGCGCGUAAGCUGGCCCGGACAUCUAUGGUUAUAAAAAAAAAAAAAAAAAUUGAGGAAAGAAAAUAAGAAGGGGCUUUAAAAACCAAAAAAAUGACAUGGAAGGGUAGUGUUGGAACUUGGGAAGGAUUUCUGUGCUCCAGCCCAGCCCACCAAGGCGGACUGAAAGUGCAGAAACUUGAUGAUGGGAAAGAAAAUCACUAAGACUGGCCCCAGGAUCAGCAAGCAAAUUAGCAAUGCCACCCACCAAAAAACACCACCACCAAGUACCAACCUCUUCCUCCCCUCACCCAACCUAACCAAACAUAAAGAAUAAUUAGUUCCAAAGAAACUAUGCUUUCAUAUGCUCAAUUCAAAAAAGAUUAAAAAAUAAAUAAAAUUGCAAAACAGGAACCAUCUUUUCAUGGUUUAAAUCAUAUCAUAUCAUCUUAAAAUAUUGUUAUUUUAUAUACUAUUAAGGUAAAUAGUAAUAUCGAGUUUGACCAAGUUACUAAUUUUGACCUAAAUUGGUACCAUAAUUAAUCGGACUAUUAAGACUAUUGUAUUCAAGUGGUGUGGAUUAGAGGGACGACCUUGGUGUUUAUAGGUGGUGUAGAGUAGAGGGAUGACCCUAGCACCCAAGGUUCAAACAAUCCAUAACUAAACGUUUUGACUUUAAAUAUUUUGUAAUUUUUUGAACACAUGGAUGUGUUCAAGUUUGGUCAAGAUUUAUAUGGUUUUGAAACUACUCAUUUCUUGUUUGAAGGGUGAGAAAAGUUAGGAAAAACCCAGCAUCUUAUUUUCCUUCUAUUCUUCUUCUCUUCCACUUCUGGCUCCUUUGUUGCUUUUCCCUUUCACUUUCCAGGAAACAAUCAGAACCUAGAAAAAGGAAAAGAACAGACAUAAAAGAUAAAAGAUUCGCCAAAAAUCUAAAUGGGUAAUCAUCAAGCAAGCAUCCUAAUUCUUAUGAAUGGAGCUAUUCAACCAUUAGGCAAGCAUAUUGACUGAUAAGAAGAUCACUAUGUAUUGGACCAUGACAGAGAGGGAGAAGAUGUGGAGCAUGCCUCCACCCAAGAACAUGAUUACAAUUUACAAGUAACUUUUGUUCGUAAGAAAUGUGAAAUCGAAUCAGGACAAUCCCCUCUAGAUAAUCGACCCUCAUUCACAAUGCUUCCUAUCCUGCAAAGAAUGUCUCUGGGUUGAGGGUAUUUUUGGAUGAGCAUAAGCAACUGUUUUCAGAUACCUUAUUCGCCGCCUGUGAAUAAGGUAUCCCAAACUAUUUACAAAGUAAAAGCUACUGCUGCUGAAUUAGCAUCAUUAUCAUAAUCUCAAUCAAAGUUUUAACUACCAAAAACCAUGUCAUGCAGCUCCUACAAUUCACCAAAAACAAAAUUAUAAGAAAUUUUCUUCUUAAUUCUCUCUAAUGUCAAAGGGAUUUGGACAAUUACCAUUAAACAAAACCUGAUUUAUGUUAUUCCAAAAGCUCUGACUAAUAUUCCAACCAAGCAGUAGAGUCACCUUCAAAAAGCGAGGCAGUUGCAGAGAUAUAUUUCAUUUGAUUUUGUACUUGAAUUUAAACAUCUUCUUCUAAGUCAACCACAAGAAACACAGUCCUCAAGAAUACUCACUCUUUGUCCAAUAAAAGAUUUUUGUGUUGUAUUCUCAUCAAUGAGAAACAAGGUAAAAAUUUUAUCUUUCGAAAUCACUAUGGUUAUGUUUGGUUCCCAAGAAAUACCAAGGAAAGGAAAAAAAAAUGUUAAGGAAAAUCAUUUUCUCAUAUUUGCUUUUAAUAUGAACCAUUAAAUAGAAAGUUAAAAUAAAUAAAAUAAGUUUUAAAGUAGUAUAAAAAAAUAAUUUAUGAACUUUUAAAUUUAUUUUUUAUUUUCUUUAUCUUUCAUUUUACUUUUCCUCUCUACUUUCUCUCUCAUAUUUCCACAAAUUUUCCCAGAACCAAACAUAACCCAUAAGUUUCCAAAUCUAGUUCAUUAAUUUCAGUCUGAAGUGCAUAACCCUAUUACCUAUAUUAGCCCAAACAACUAAUUUAAGUUAAAAUUUAUCAUUAGCAUCAGUCCAAAAUAUCCUGAGUCUUAGUAAGCAUAUUAACUGCUUUAUACUUAUUACAAAAGCAAGGUUUCAAUACUAAGUAUUGUUGUUGUUGAGGAUUGCAUUAUUUUAGGGAGCGGAGCUAAAUUUGGGAUUGUCAUUUGCAAUUCAAAUUUAAUUUCUAUUCUAGAUUAGGUUGACAAUUGUAUAGUUUCCUAUUUGAAUCAGUCUGGUGUAAGUGACAAGCCACUUCCAAGUCAAACAUUGAGCAGCCACCACACACAUAAGUUACUGCCCCUGACAAUCCUUCCCUUCAUAUUACAUCUGACAAACUAAAAGACAAAACUACUUGUUGUGCUCUCAAUCUGUAAAAAUGUUUAUCUGAGGCAAGGGAAAAUUUGGUUAUCUCACUGGAGCAAUACAACCACCAGAAAAAGAAGAUGAGACAACAUUUCAAACAUGGGAGGCAAAAAACUCAAUGGUGAUGGCUUGGCUUGUUAACUUAAUGGAUCUAGAAAUUGGACAGACAUAUUUGUUCUCAUCAACAACAAAAGAAAUAUGGGAUCAAUCAAUCAGAUUUAGGCAGUUCAACUCAAGUAUAUAAGAUUAAGGCUCGAAUUCAUGACAUGAAGUAGGGAGCUCAAAGUGGUACAGAAUACUACGGUAUUCUUAAGGGUCUUUGGUAGGGCUGCAACUUUGGAUGAGUUGGUUCAGUUGAUGGCUAACUCGAGCUUAACCUGAAUUAAAAAAUAAUAAAGCAGAGCCCAAACCUAAGGUAUUCAACCUAACCUCAUUUCUCUAAGCUCGGGUUGAGUUUGGAUCAGUUAGGUUGAUUAAGUUACAUAAUUCAAAAUUGAUCUAUAAUAUAUUUUUAAUAACUUUUUUCUACAUAUUUAUAUGAAAAUUUAAAUAGUAAAUAAGACAAAAUUUCAGGAUAGCAACAAAAUAUUAAAAAUAAAUUUAUCUAUCUUUCUAAAAUAGGAAAUUAUAAAUGCAUCCAUCCUUUUAAUGAAAAUUUUUAGAACAUAAAUGCUUCUUGUUGAAAUCCUUAAAAUACCUUUCAACACAAAAAUGCAUUCAUUUCCCUCUCCUUUUUCAUUCUCUUCUAAUCUCUCCAUAACCCUAGUAAAAUUUAGCAAGAGAGUUGUGUUUCUCACCAAUGGAUAAACAAAUAAUCAUAUCCAAUGAUGUUAAAAGUGCACAUGUAUGGUUUUUAUACAUUUUUUUUUGCAUUUUUUAUCAUAUUUUUUGGGUUAGAAGGAGGUCUCACGGUUAUUGUUUAGAGUCCCAAGGUUAAACAUUUUGUAGUUGUUCGAUCCUAUACCUCCGGACACUCUUAAGGGUGUCUGACCCUAUAUUUCCGAACACUCUUAACUGUGCUCGACUCUAUAUUUCCGGACACUCUUAAGGGUGUCUGACCCUAUACCUCUGGACAUAGCUAAGAUGUUUGGCCUUCCAGGAUCGGACACUACGGGUUCCAAAUUUUCUCUCCAUUUACAUUACAACUUUUCAUGUUUUCUCACUUCUAAAUCAUAUCUACAUUCUUCCUAAUUGCUUUCCUACAAUUUUUACAAGUUUUUUGUCAAAAAUUAUAUAUGAAUAAACUCAAAAAUAUUUCCAUGUUUUGUGUUAUUUGUAGAUAAGGUUUGUGGUUGGGAAGAAAUAGAUUGAGGGAAAAAAGAAGAAGAUGGGUUUAUGGAUAUUUUUAAAUCAUAGGAUGACUGUAUUAAUAGGUUUUUAAUUUUUUUGGUGGAUGUGUAAAUAGGAUGGAUGCAAAGCGAGUUUUGGUGGAUGCAUUUAUAAUUUUUCUUCUAAAAUAAUUAAAAAGUAUAUAAUAUAAUAUAAUAUAAUAUAAUAUUUUUUUCCUUAAAAAUUUAAAAAGAAAAUGAAUAUUAUUACCUAGGAUAAUAUACAUUGCCAUUAAGGCCUGGCUCCAGUGAUAAAGGGAUGGGGAGGGUUUGUGGGAGGUUCUAGGUUUAAGUCUCAAUGGGGACGAAAUUUUACCUAUAUAUAUAUAAAAGGAUAAUAUACAUUAUAAAUAUUACAAAAACAUUUAAUCAGGUUUAGGCCAGGCUCGGGUUGCCUGAACCUUGGCUUGACCCCAAUCUAAAUUGAACUCGAGUUGAAAAAACCUAACCAAAGCUUAACCCAAGUAGUGAAAAUUAUUGUGAAAACUUGCCCAUAAUAUUGGGUUGGGUUGGGCUAACCUGCCCAAGUUGUACCCUUAGUAAUUGGCAAAAGUUAGAUCAGUAUUAUGAAACUUAACAGGGGAAUGUAGGAGAUGCUGCCCAGUUCAAGAGGUUGCUGGAAAAAGAAUGUGUUCUUGAAUUUUUAGCAAGAUUAAACGCGGAACUUGAUGAAGCAAGGGGGAGAGUCCUUGGAAGAGAACCUCUCCCAUUUGUUCGAGAGGUUUUUGCAUGCAUUAGAAGAGAGGAAAGCAGGGGGAAUUUAUGAUGAAUAGCCAAAAAACUGGCCAAAAUUCAGAGGACGUAGCCUUAUUGACAGAAACACUUGAAACUGAUCUUGUUGCUGGUCAGAAAAGCUCUAUGAAAGAAGAAGAAAAGACCAAAGUCUAGUGUAAUUAUUGUAAUAAUCCCAGACAUACCAAGGAAAUAUGCUGGAAAAUUCAUGGGAAGCCUGCUAAACUGAAAAACAACUGAUUUCUAGAGAGAAACAAUUGUGCUUGUUAGGCUGAAAACACACAAUCAAGCAACCUUGGAGGAGCUGAGAUGCCCUCCACAAAGGAACAAUUAGAGCUUCUACACAAGUUUAUUAACCAAUCAAAAAAAUAUCCAAUUGCUUCCUUGCCCAAAAAGGUAAUUUCUUUAUUGCUUCAAGUGUUUCUUCUGAUGUAAAAGCUCCUUAGAUCAUGGAUUUAAGAGCAACAUAUUAUAUGACUGGUUGUUCAAAAUUAUUUUCAUCAUAUACUCCCAUGUUUUGGUAGCCAAAAGGUAAGAAUAGCUGAUGGAUCUUUGUCCUAAAUCGCAGGAAAGGGAUUUAUUCCUAUUUCUAAAGCGCUUGUGCUAAAUUCAAUUUUUACAUGUGCCUAUCCUUUCUAGUGAUCUGUUUUCCUUCAGUAAGUUUACUAAAUACAAUAACUGUAUAAUAUUCUUUCCUACUCAUUGUGAUUUCUAGGACCUGGCUUCAGGGAUGAAGAUUGGUAAUGCUAAAAAAGUUGAUGGACUGUACUACUUUACUGAUAAUGUUGUUCUAGAGAGACAAGUCCAAGUAGUAAAUAAGUCUUCUCAAAUUAUUGAGAAUGAAAUAAUGUUAUGACAUUAUAGAUUAGGGCACCUUAGUUUUUAUUAUUUGCAAAGACUCUUUCCUUAUUUGUUUAAAGACAAAAGUCCAUCUUUAUUUCAACGUGAGGUUUGUGAAUUUGCCAAGCACCAUAGGUCUCAUUUUCCUGUAAAGCCUUAUAAAAAAUUGAUACCUUUUGUUCUUAUUCAUAGUGAUGUGUGGGGACCUCACAUGUUACUAACAUUUCUGGAACAAAAUGGUUUGUCACUUUUAUUGAUGAUUAUAGUCGUUUAUGUCGGGUGUAUUUACUAAAGGAAAAAUCUGAGGUGGAAAUUUUUUUAAAGACUUUGGUGCUAUGGUUCAAAACCAUUUUCAAGCAAAAAUUAGGGUGCUUAAGAUAGACAAAUAUUUUAGGAGAAUAUCUUUUACAAAAUGGAAUUAUUCACCAAUCAACAUGUUUCGACACACUAGAGCAAAAUGGAAUUGCUGAAAGGAAAAAUAGACAUUUAUUAGAAGUUGCAUGUGCAAUUGUGUUUACCAUUAAGGUUCCAAAACAUUUUUAGGGAGAAACAGUUCUUACAACCUCAUACAAGGAUCUUACAAUUUCAAAUUCCAUUGGAUGCUUUUUUGCAAUUCUAUCCACACUAAAUUGUUCACAUCAUUACUUCUAAAGGUGUUUGGAUGCAUUGCAUUUGUUCAUGUGCACAACCAUCUUAGAAGUAAAUUAGAUCCUUAUGCAAUUAAAUGUGUGUUUUUAGGAGGCACUCCAACAAAAAAGGGUAUAAAUGUAAUGAUCUUGUUUGAAAAAAAUGUUUGUCACUUUUGACAUUACUUUUUUUGAAAAAACAAGCUUUCACACUUCCCUUUAGGGGGAAAAUGUAAAUAAAGACAACUAGUUGAGCUUUGUGUCUACUCCAAGCCAAAAAGUCAGAAAGAGAUCACUCAGAAUUGCUCAAAGCAAGGCUAUGACUCAAACCUUGAAGCUAAGGAAAUGAAAAUUACAAAAAACCAUGAGCCUCCUCAUCUUAAUUUUUCAUCUUCUAUGAAGGAUAUAAAUGAUCUCAAAGUGCCAAUAGCUCUUAGGAACUAGGUCAUGUACUCUUCACCCCAUAUCAAAUUUUGUGACUUUUCAUAGACUCACCAUCUUUCAAAGCCUUUAAUGAAUCAAGCAUAGAUAUUCCUAAAACCGUGUAGGAAGCUUUAGAAGUUUUGGAGUGGGGGGAUGUAGUGCUUCAGGAGAUGAAAGCUCUUGAAAAGCAUGGUACUUGGCAAAUCAUGGAGCUACCUAGAGGAAAUACCCCAAUAGGAUGUAAGUGGAUUUUCGUUUAAGUGUAAAGCUAAUGGAACUAUUGAAAGGUACAAGGCGAAACUGGUGGCAAAAGGCUACAUACAACCCUAUGACAUUGAUUACCAAGAGACAUUUGCACCGGUGGCUAAGAUUAAUACGGUUAGAGACCUACCCUCUCUUAUAGCUAAUCUUGAUUGGUCUCUUCAUCACCUAGAUAUCAAAAAUGCAUUUCUUAACAGAGAACUUGAGGAGGAAGUUUACAUGCAACUGCCCCCAAGUUUUGAGAACUCUUAUGGAAAAGGGAAUGUGUGUAAAUUAAAAAGAUCUCUCUAUAACCUAAAACAAUGACCAAGAGCAUGGUUUGACAGUUUUUCGAAGUCUAUUAAGGUCUUUAGCUUCUCUCAAAGUUAGGCAAAUCACACCCUAUUUCUCAUGCAUUCUAUGGAUGGCAAGAUUACUAUUCUUAUUGUGUGCGUAGAUGAUAUUAUCCUCAUCAAGAAUGAUGAAGCUGAGAUUGGACAACUUAAAACAUUGCUAUCAAAGGAAUUUGAGAUAAAGGGCAUGGGUCCUUUACGGUAUUUUCUUGAAAUAGAGAUAGCUUGAUCAAGUAGAGGAAUUUUAGUUUCACAAAGAAAAUAUACACUUGACUUGUUACAAAAGAUAAGAAUGCUUGGCUGCAAACUAGGAGAUAUUCCAAUGGAGCCAAAUCACAAACUUAGAUUGCUCAGGAACAGCAAAGUAGAUAGGGAACGUUAUCAACUACUAGUAGGUAUACUUAUCUACCUAUCACACAGAAGGCCUGAUACAGCAUUUGCAGUGAGUGUAUUGUGUCAAUUUAUACACCCACCCCAUGAAGUACACAUGGAAGCUAUAUGCAAAAUACUGAAGCAUUUAAAAAGAACACUUGGGAAAUCUCUACUUUUAAAAAAGAGUGAACAUUUAAAAGUUGAGGCAUACACUGACUCUGAUUAGGCAAGAGCUAUUAAUGAUAGAAGGUCAGCCUCAGGUUUUUGUACCAUGGUAAACAGAAAUCUAGUCACAUGGAGAAGUAAGAAGCAAUCGAUUGUGACAAGAAGUAGUGCAGGAGUAGAAUAUAGGGUUGUUGCUCAAGGAAUACGUGAGCUGCUUCUAUGAAGCUUUACUGUGACAAUAAAGCUGCCACAAACAUAGCCAACAAUCCAAUGCAACAUGAUCGAAUCAAAUAUGUGGAGAUUGGUCAACAUUUCAUCAAAGAAAAAUUAGAGUGGUCUUAUUUGUAUGCCAUUUAUUCCAUCGAAUGAACAACUAGCUGAUUUACUUACUAAAGGGUUGCUGAAACCUACAUUUGAUUACUUGACUAGCAAGCUAGGCAUGAUUAAUAUCUAUGAGCUAGCUUGAGAGGAAGAAUUGCAUUAUUUUAGGAGAUUUGAUUCAAUCAAUUUUGUUAUUUAGGGAGCUAAAUUUGGGAUUGUGAUUUGCAAUUCAAAUUUAAUUCCUACUCGAGAUUAGGUUGACAGUAGUGUAGUUUUCUAUUUGAAUAUGUUGAGUAUAGGCUAUAAAUAUCAAAUUGUACUCUUCCAAUAAUAUAGAAAACAUACAGAUUCAAUCCAUAUCUAUUUACAGUUGUCAAUGAAGUUUUUUAGACUUUUGCAUCCUUUCUAAUACUUCCUUAUUCUCUUUAGAAAUAAUGCAUAAUAAGGCUGAUAACUCAUCCAAUUGCCAUUUCAAAAAAGAAAAAAAAAAUUGCCUAAUUUCAUUUAAUCCUUUCUCCAAUAAAUACCCAACAAAAAGACAAACUUCACUUUCAACGAGUGCAUAUUUUCUUCAAUUGUCUUUUUAGUCACUAUCCUGAAUCAUGUUUUACGUUGGUCCAAAUGCCUUUUUAAACUGCAGAAGUAAAAAAAAAGUUACAAUUUCUUAGAAUUCAACUCUCAUGAUUUUAACCCUAAACACUUUAGGUCCUCAGCCUUCCUCAUUACCAAGAAACCCACCAUUUUCUACUAACAAGCUUCAUUCCAGGCCACAAGAAUAAGAGGUUAAUUAGUAAAAAUAUAUUCUAUAUUAUUAAUUUUCCCCAAAGAAAAUUCAGGUUUGUUCUAUCAUGAGAUUUAUUAUUCCUUUUGAACACUAGAUUUCUAAGAUGGACUAGAUACCAAACAAUAACUUGCAAGGGUAUCCUUAACAGUGCUAUAAGGUUCAUUUGAUAACCUAGCUAAAAUAAAGUAACCUAGCUAAAAUAAAUUAAUUGUAGACAGACCUAUUGUGGAUUACGAUUUUCCCUUAUAGACAAAGUGAGCUUGGUUAAGGAGAAAUGCCUUUAAAAUGCAAAAAAUUCAUAGAAAUAAAAUGGAUCGCCUAACCUUCAAAAUAAGCUUAAAAUUUGGUAGAACCCUGAAAAAUGUCACUCCACGCCACUCCUGGAUAACUGCAGGAGAAGAUUAGC
RNAcentral lists this long non-coding RNA (9034 nucleotides) under Vitis vinifera (wine grape). RNAcentral's name for it is "long non-coding RNA (VVIN_LNC002984)". Lineage: Eukaryota; Viridiplantae; Streptophyta; Magnoliopsida; Vitales; Vitaceae. The record is from RNAcentral.